AAAACCGUAGCUAUAUAUAUUUUCUUAGUUUUAAAAUUCUGUCUUUAGUCUUUACCAAGAACCCUUUUUUGUUUCCAUAGCUGAAGAACAAGCCAACACUUUCCUUCAGUUAUACACAAUCCACAUUCUUCAUCAUGUUCAUCGAACUAGAUUGUCCUGCUAGUGUGCGAAAGCAACUUGGAAAACUGUUUGCUGAAGCUCUCAAACAAACUGUGCCUACUGAACCUGAUAUUGUGCCUUUGAUUGAUGCAUGCAUUGCAAAAGACGGUGUAAAACAUGCUGAUUAUCAAUGUAAUAAUGCAAUGAGUCUUUUUGCUAAGAUUAAAGGGAAGCAAGAAGAGUUCAAAAGUCCACGUUCACUUGGAGAGGGCAUUAUGAAAAAUCUUCCUCCAUCAGAAAUGAUAGAAUCAUGCUCUGUUGCUGGUCCUGGAUUUGUGAAUAUUGUCUUAUCAAAGAAGUGGAUAGCACAGAGACUACAAAAGAUGCUUACAGACGGUAUUGAUUCCUGGGCACCUCGACUUCCAAUCAAGAGGGUUUUGGUUGACUUUUCCUCACCUAAUAUAGCAAAAGAAAUGCAUGUUGGUCACCUGAGGUCAACCAUUAUUGGGGACACGUUGUCACGAAUGCUUGAGUUUUGCCAGCCUGAAUGUCUGAUCCGCCGAAAUCAUAUUGGUGACUGGGGCACUCAGUUCGGAAUGCUGAUUCAAUACCUCUUUGAGACAUAUCCAAACCCAGACGAUGUUAAUGAAUCUGAUAUUGGAGAUCUACAGACAUUCUAUAAGGCAUCAAAAUCAAAGUUUGACAAGGAUGCUGAUUUUAAGUUAAAUGCACAGCAGUCAGUGGUCAAGCUCCAGGGAGGGGAUCCCAAGUAUCGCAAGGCAUGGGAGCAAAUUUGCAAUAUUAGUAGGACUGAGUUUAAGAAGGUCUAUCAACGCCUUGGAAUUCGUUUGGAGGAAAUGCCAGAGAGCUUCUAUAAUGAAUUAAUCCCUCCAACUUUGGAGAAACUGGAUCAAUUAGGGCUGAUUGAAGACAGUGAUGGUGCUCGUGUGAUAUUUGUUGACGGUGUAGACAUACCACUAAUUGUUGUGAAAAGAGACGGAGGCUACAACUACUUUUCAACCGAUCUAGCAGCACUUUGGUAUCGUCUGAAUAUCGAAAAGGUUGAUUGGAAUAUAUAUGUUACAGAUUUUGGGCAGUCGCAACAUUUUGACAUGCUUUUUAAGGCCUUCAAGCGUGCAGGGUGGCUUCCAGAAGACAAAAAUGAAUAUCCAAUAUGCACUCAUAUAGGUUUCGGUCUUGUUCUUGGCGUGGAUGGAAAACGAUUACGGAGUUCCUCCGGCGAUACUAUUCGAUUGGUUGAUUUACUCAAUGAAGCUACAGAACAGAGUAAAACUGCCCUUCUUAAACGUGGUAAUGCUAAAGAGUGGUCAAAGGAAGAGAUUGAGAAAGCAUCAGAGGCAAUUGGAUAUGGGGCUGUUAAGUAUGCUGACUUGAAGAACAAUAAAACAACGAAUUACACGUUCAGCUUUGAGCAGAUGCUUAAUGACAAGGGGAAUACUGCUGUUUAUUUGAUGUAUGCACAUGCUAGGAUCUGUUCCAUUAUCAGGAAAUCUGGUAAAGACAUAGAAGAACUAAAAAAGACUGGGACUAUGGUGUUGGAUCAUGAAAACGAGCGCACAUUGGCUCUUCAUUUACUGCAAUUUACAGAGGUUUUUGUGGAGGCAUGCUCGAAUUUGUUACCAAAUGUAUUGUGUGAAUACCUAUACAAUUUGGCGGAAAUCUUCACAAAGAAAUUCUAUUCUAAUUGUCAGGUUGUUGGGUCGCCGGUGGAAACUAGUCGACUCUUGUUAUGCGAAGCAACACUUGUUGUGAUGAGACAUUGCUUCUAUCUCCUUGGAAUUGAACCAGUUGACAAGUUAUGAGCUAUCUGAAUGAAGAGUUAUACUUCAAUUUUUAGUGCAUAGAAGAAGUGUAGGAAGCUUCUAAUAUGAAAUCAAUAGUAUAUAUAUAAAAGUAUUGUUGAUGAUGUUAAAGUUUUGAGCUGGAAACGUAUUUAGCAAGGACAAAAGUAUUUCCGUGUUUAUUUUAUGAGUGGUAUUGGAAUCCCGGAGAGUGUCUCCUACAUUGAUCAUGGGGGCUGCUAAGGUUGGUCUCGGUUUUCUCCCAAAAGCCAUUUUUUGUGUAUCCUUGGGGAUUGGUUUUCUCGGCUUCUGGUUUAGCUCUAGGAGGGGCAGUUUUUCUGUUUUG
RNA transcript from Trifolium pratense (red clover), 2247 nucleotides. It is a transcript of the gene named arginine--tRNA ligase, chloroplastic/mitochondrial-like, with no coding region annotated. NCBI's taxonomy places the organism in Eukaryota, Viridiplantae, Streptophyta, Magnoliopsida, Fabales, Fabaceae. The transcript has 17 exons. The record is from RefSeq and is a predicted model, not a curated record.